GUUGCAUGAACAUCGCAGCAACAGCCAAUGUGACAGCCGGGAGUUUUUUGUGUCUGUGGAUUAUUCUUACAUACUAGCUGAUUUCUGAGACAACUGACAAUUGGCGAUACGUACAAGGUAAUUUCCAUGUAGACCACGGUGGAGAUCCCAGCAGUAUCCGUGGAUCUCGAGGAGACACUCCAGAAUUACCAGAUAGACUUGGACACCGAGCACGUUCAGCAGGUGUGGAGAAGGAACCUGCAAUCUUAAUCUCUCUUCUGAUUCCGAGGAAUUGUGUCUGGAUCUGACAACUGGAGCGAGGAAAAUUGUCUAGAAUCCUGGUAUCCACAGAUGGGGGACUCCACACCCACCCACUCCGGUACCGCAAAUGCUUCGGAGUAUGAUUACCUCAUCAAAUUCCUGGCUCUAGGUAAGUUGGUGACGGGGAAUAUUGUAUUAUAAUAUAUGGGAUGGUCGCGAUCGGAUGGCGGUAGUAACACAUUUGUCUUUCACCUAUCAGGGAUUUUCCUACAAUAGAAACAGGAUCCGUUAAAAUGACCCA
Long non-coding RNA from Pecten maximus, 541 nucleotides. RefSeq lists it as uncharacterized. The record is from RefSeq and is a predicted model, not a curated record. NCBI's taxonomy places the organism in Eukaryota, Metazoa, Mollusca, Bivalvia, Pectinida, Pectinidae. The transcript has 3 exons.